RNAcentral lists this ribosomal RNA (445 nucleotides) under uncultured bacterium. RNAcentral describes it as "partial 16S ribosomal RNA". It matches the Rfam family "Bacterial small subunit ribosomal RNA", at positions 354 to 796 of the family's 1533-position model. The record is from RNAcentral.
GUAGGGAAUAUUGGGCAAUGGAUGCAAGUCUGACCCAGCCAUCCCGCGUGCCGGAGGAAGGCCCUCAGGGUUGUAAACGGCUUUUGACGGUGAAGAAUCGACAGGAUGCGUCCUGUUUUGACGGUAGCCGUUGAAUAAGCACCGGCUAACUCCGUGCCAGCAGCCGCGGUAAUACGGAGGGUGCGAGCGUUGUCCGGAUUUAUUGGGUUUAAAGGGUGCGUAGGCUGGAAGGUCAGUCAGCGGUGAAAAGCUGUCGCUUAACGAUAGUCUUGCCGCAGAUACUUCCUUUCUUGGAUGAGGAGGAGGCCACUGGAACGGAUGGUGUAGCGGUGAAAUGCAUAGAUAUCAUCCAGAACACCGAUUGCGAAGGCAGGUGGCUGUACCUUAAUCGACGCUGAUGCACGAAAGCAUGGGGAGCAAACAGGAUUAGAAACCCCUGUAGUCC